GUGAUGACUUCACUGGGUUAUGUUCUAGCAAUCGCCAGAACUUAAGUCUUAUCACUUCCUGGUUUAUUGUUUUCUCAAAGUAGAUCAUUUGGUUACUUCAGCACAAGAAUAACGUUUCAAAAGAAUGGCAUCUGGAUUCUUCCCGAAGUAGACAUGAUGGCUUUUUUCAUAGUAUAGUUAUUGUUUGGUCCAUGUGUCAAUGUCGUUGUCAUCUUGCCCACUCCCCACCCCAGACAGGGAAUCACUCUGUAGCGCUGCUUUGUCUGAAACUACUAUGUAAACCAGGCUGCCUAGAAGUCACAGGGAUCCUCUUGGCUCUGCUUCUGAGUGCUGGGAUUAAAGACGUGGACCAUCAUGCCCAGCUAUAAACAGCACGGCAUGUUUGUCUCCUGCUUCCUCUGUGUCUGGCUGGUGACUCCGCCUCCUUCCCUGUCUGCAAGUCUCAGUUCCUAAUUCCAGGUGCCUGCCUUGAAUUCCUGCCCUG
RNAcentral lists this long non-coding RNA (484 nucleotides) under Cricetulus griseus (Chinese hamster). Its description in RNAcentral is "lncRNA (ENSCGRG00015042770.1)". The record is from RNAcentral. Lineage: Eukaryota; Metazoa; Chordata; Mammalia; Rodentia; Cricetidae.